Molecule: non-coding RNA, 148 nt
Filed under: Gorilla gorilla gorilla (western lowland gorilla)
Lineage: Eukaryota; Metazoa; Chordata; Mammalia; Primates; Hominidae
Source: Rfam by way of RNAcentral
GCUGGGCGUGGUGGCGUGUGCCUGUAAUCCCAGCUACUCAGGAGGCUGAGGCAGAAGAAUUGCUUGAACCUGGGAGGCAGAGGUUGCAGUGAGCCGAGAUCGCGCCACUGCACUCCAGCCUGGGUGACAGAGCGAGACUCUGUCUCAA